This 285-nucleotide unclassified non-coding RNA is filed under the name Hevea brasiliensis (rubber tree). Lineage: Eukaryota; Viridiplantae; Streptophyta; Magnoliopsida; Malpighiales; Euphorbiaceae. The record is from RNAcentral.
AUAAAAAAAAAAGAAAAAAAAACCCAUAAAAUUAGUGCAAUAAUCAAAUAGCUACCUCUAGUAAUUAUUCUUUUAAAAUUUUUGGAUAAAUUAUAUUAUAUGCUGGUAUGACUCCUAAGUUAGUUAAAUAUAGUUGUCCAAGUACCAUCUUUAUGUUCUUGAUGUAAGUAACUAGAGAUAUACUUUUAAGCAUGCAGCAAGAUCGUCAUUAUUGGCAGUUAGGGCUUUGACAACAACUACUCGUUAUAAAUAGGGUUUGAAUAUUUGGUUCUUGCAUCAUCAAUU